Melanotaenia boesemani (Boeseman's rainbowfish) is the source of this 116-nucleotide long non-coding RNA. RefSeq lists it as uncharacterized. The record is from RefSeq and is a predicted model, not a curated record. The transcript has 3 exons. NCBI's taxonomy places the organism in Eukaryota, Metazoa, Chordata, Actinopteri, Atheriniformes, Melanotaeniidae.
UAAAGCAAAACUACUGAAUUUAACUUUGGUAGAUUUUCUUACUGAGGCGCCCCCUAAUGCCAGCUGAUUCAACGUCCAUCUUGCAUCCUGCCUCUUCUCUGAUCUCUCUCUGGCAA